Molecule: long non-coding RNA, 265 nt
Organism: Girardinichthys multiradiatus
Lineage: Eukaryota; Metazoa; Chordata; Actinopteri; Cyprinodontiformes; Goodeidae
Exons: 2
Source: RefSeq, a predicted model, not a curated record
UGUGUCCCCCCGUUCACCCCACUGCUCGCCAGCGAAGGAUGCCGGUGCUUCAGGUCCACAGCAAAGUACCUGUUCACCGUCCAGCUGCGCCAUUUCCUCUUGAUUUCCGAUUGCACCUUGAGGGAUAUACUUCACAAGGAAGCAGUAGAGGACAGCCACCACAAAGCCCUGCAGGAACACAGAAGAUCAGUGAACACUGAAGCACCAUCACAUUUACUGCAAACAACCCUCCCUGUUUCAGCCAUUAAACCAUUCAGCCCUUGGA